Molecule: ribosomal RNA, 406 nt
Filed under: uncultured Flavobacterium sp.
Lineage: Bacteria; Pseudomonadati; Bacteroidota; Flavobacteriia; Flavobacteriales; Flavobacteriaceae
Description: bacterial SSU rRNA
Rfam family: Bacterial small subunit ribosomal RNA
Source: RNAcentral
GAGUUUGAUCGUGGCUCAGGAUGAACGCUAGCGGCAGGCCUAACACAUGCAAGUCGAGGGGUAGAGGAAGCUUGCUUCCUUGAGACCGGCGCACGGGUGCGUAACGCGUAUGCAAUCUACCUUGUACAGGGGGAUAGCCCAGAGAAAUUUGGAUUAAUACCCCAUAGUGUUAUUGGAUGGCAUCAUUUGAUAACUAAAGUUCCAACGGUACAAGAUGAGCAUGCGUCCCAUUAGCUAGUUGGCGUGGUAACGGCAUACCAAGGCAAUGAUGGGUAGGGGUCCUGAGAGGGAGAUCCCCCACACUGGUACUGAGACACGGACCAGACUCCUACGGGAGGCAGCAGUGAGGAAUAUUGGUCAAUGGGCGCAAGCCUGAUCCAGCCAUGCCGCGUGUGUGAAGAAGGCC